Molecule: non-coding RNA, 383 nt
Organism: Cicer arietinum (chickpea)
Lineage: Eukaryota; Viridiplantae; Streptophyta; Magnoliopsida; Fabales; Fabaceae
Source: RefSeq, a predicted model, not a curated record
UUUGUUGGUGUUCUGCUUUGUGUUACAGAACCAAGCAUCAUUCCCUUCAACGCCGGCUAAGGAUCCGAACAGUGCAGUUCGGUGUUGCUCAGAACAUUCACGAACUUUAUGACAGCUGUGAUCCUGAAGUUGUUCUAUCGUUGCUCGUGCACAAGGUUAUACUUGCGUCUUUGGAGGAAGGAGUUCGGGAGGGUAGACUCUUGCUUCAAGAAUGGCUAGUGAUCCUUGCAGCACAGUACAAUGAUGCUUAUAAACUUGUUCAGUAUAGUAAUGGAAAUUCAAUAAGAUCUCAGCUUGAUGUUGCCUUCUCUCAAUGUCCUCAACUGCAGUCCCUACCGCGCCUAAUCUUUGCUCUCCUUCGAAACCCUCUUCUUCGCUUUCAU